RNAcentral lists this ribosomal RNA (253 nucleotides) under uncultured bacterium. RNAcentral's name for it is "partial 16S ribosomal RNA". It matches the Rfam family "Bacterial small subunit ribosomal RNA", at positions 524 to 776 of the family's 1533-position model. The record is from RNAcentral.
UACGGAGGGGGCUAGCGUUGUUCGGAAUUACUGGGCGUAAAGCGCACGUAGGCGGCUUUGUAAGUUAGAGGUGAAAGCCCGGAGCUCAACUUCGGAAUUGCCUUUAAGACUGCAUCGCUUGAAUCAUGGAGAGGUCAGUGGAAUUCCGAGUGUAGAGGUGAAAUUCGUAGAUAUUCGGAAGAACACCAGUGGCGAAGGCGGCUCACUGGACUGGUAUUGACGCUGAGGUGCGAAAGCGUGGGGAGCAAACAGG